CAAUGGACGUUAACCCGCAGUAGUAGCACCGGGCUACUCCGUGCCAGCAGCGCAGUAAUACCGGAGGGUGCUAGCGUUAUCGGAAGUACUGGGCGUAAGCGCACGCCGGCGGUCUGUCAAGUCGGAUGUGACAUCUCCUGGCUCAACCUGGGAACUGCAUUCGAAACUGGCAGGCCGGAGUCUUGUAGAGGGGGGUAGAAUUCCAGGUGUAGCGGUGAACGCGUAGAGAUCUGGAGGAAUACCGGUGGCGAAGGCGGCCCCCUGGACAAAGACUGACGCUCAGGUGCGAAGCGUGGCGAGCAAACAGGAUUAGAUACCCUGGUAGUCCACGCUGUAAACGAUGUCGACUUGGAGGUUGUUCCCUUGAGGAGUGGCUUCCGGAGCUAACGCGUUAAGUCGACCGCCUGGGGAGUACGGCCGCAAGGUUAAAACUCAAAUGAAUUGACGGGGGCCCGCACAAGCGGUGGAGCAUGUGGUUUAAUUCGAUGCAACGCGAAGAACCUUACCUACUCUUGACAUCCAGAGAACUUAGCAGAGAUGCUUUGGUGCCUUCGGGAACUUUGAGACAGGUGCUGCAUGGCUGUCGUCAGCUCGUGUUGUGAAAUGUUGGGUUAAGUCCCGCAACGAGCGCAACCCUUAUCCUUUGUUGCCAGCGGUUCGGUCGGGAACUCAAAGGAGACUGCCAGUGAUAAACUGGAGGAAGGUGGGGAUGACGUCAAGUCAUCAUGGCCCUUACGAGUAGGGCUACACACUUGCUACAAUGGCAUAUACAAAGAGAAGCGACCUCGCGAGAGCCAGCGGACCUCAUAAAGUAUGUCGUAGUCCGGAUUGGAGUCUGCAACUCGACUCCAUGAAGUCGGAAUCGCUAGUAAUCGUGGAUCAGAAUGCCACGGUGAAUACGUUCCCGGGCCUUGUACACACCGCCCGUCACACCAUGGGAGUGGGUUGCAAAAGAAGGAGGUAGCUUAACCUUCGGGAGGGCGCCUUACCCCACCUUCUA
This 1000-nucleotide ribosomal RNA is filed under the name Enterobacteriaceae bacterium Gna1. RNAcentral's name for it is "bacterial SSU rRNA". It matches the Rfam family "Bacterial small subunit ribosomal RNA", at positions 466 to 1466 of the family's 1533-position model. Lineage: Bacteria; Pseudomonadati; Pseudomonadota; Gammaproteobacteria; Enterobacterales; Enterobacteriaceae. The record is from RNAcentral.